UGCAGCUACAAGGUCAAUCCUCCUCCUUCUCCCCACUAGCCAGCGUACGCAUUCCUCUAGAAGUGCAGAGAGAUUUGGUUAAGAAACGCUUGCAUUUCAUGAACAAGAGCUACUCAGAUGGGUGGACUGAGCUUUCUAGCCAUAUGACCACGGAUGGCUUAAGCCGAAGGAUUUUUGUUAACAGUCUAUCACAGACAUAAUCCACAAGACUUUCGCCUUCGAGCAUCACAGCAGGCGUCACCCUUUCUGAACUACAAUAUCAGCCCCAACCGGGUGUAAUCGUUUAAGAAGCAAUAGUUCUCUCACACGCACAAUUCACCGGUUGGAUAGGGACCUCAUUGCAAGUGGAAGAGGAGCAUGCCAGCUAUGAACCGAUAUAUUCACUAUUUCGCGAUCUCCAAUUGAAGCAGUUGCUGCAAUUUACAACGCAAGAUCGGUCUUGAAAACCAUGAGGGUGGAGUGGAAGUUUCUGAAAGCCUUCUUGUGACUCGGAACACACAUACCUAGCCCUGUUCGGAGCCGCGAAAAUAAGGCGAGUGCUCGUAGUCUAUGGUGCUGUUCCUGAUUAUAUCUCCAUCAAAGGCUUCACUUGAUCUGACCACCCCUUCACAUGGACGCUCUGCUGUGACAGUUUCCAAGCAUCCAUUUCAGGAUCUACUAUGAGAAAAUAUUACUAGAGGGGUUGAGAAACAGCGUCUAGAAGGCGGUGCGGCCGAUAUUGAUCAACUAGUUUAUUCCACAGCUGGGAUAAAUGCACAGAAUUUGCCAUUUUCUCUUGCCAGGCUUAUUGACCAGGAGACCAGCUGCACACAAGACAGACACAAUGAAUCUCCAGGUGCUUUCUACACAACCAACUCAGUGGGCACCUGAUUGGUGUAGUAUUACUCUAUUUGCCUCUUGACAAUGAAACCUCACCACCUCAACGCAAUGAUUUCCCUGCCCCCAAUUGAGUGCCAGCUAUUUCUCCCGGGAUUCGGAGCUCUGCUUGUGAUGAAGCUGGAUAUGCUAUAUUGAAUGAUCUGAGCGGAAGUGCCAUUUUCGGAAUUAGGUCUCUGAAAAAAUAAAUACAUUUUUUCAAGAAAAGCUACGCAACAACGGAACCUUGCGCCUUCCUCCGAAGGAAAUUUUGACAAGCUGGAAUUAUUAGCAAAGGGUUCCACAAACUUUCCCAUCACAAAAAAAGGUCAACGAAUAAUAUCUUGAGGAGGUUAUGACAGACAUGAAUUAAGUCUCAUUUUGUAUGCUGUGAUUAUCUAUUGUUGUUAUUUACUUCUUUUUGUACAGUACAAUCACUACAAUGACAACCAAGGGU
RNAcentral lists this small RNA (1312 nucleotides) under Histoplasma capsulatum var. duboisii H88. RNAcentral describes it as "Histoplasma capsulatum H88 hypothetical RNA". Lineage: Eukaryota; Fungi; Ascomycota; Eurotiomycetes; Onygenales; Ajellomycetaceae. The record is from RNAcentral.